This 451-nucleotide ribosomal RNA is filed under the name uncultured bacterium. RNAcentral's name for it is "SSU rRNA". It matches the Rfam family "Bacterial small subunit ribosomal RNA", at positions 26 to 521 of the family's 1533-position model. The record is from RNAcentral.
AGAGCGAACGCUGGCGGCAGGCUUAACACAUGCAAGUCGAGCGGGCGUAGCAAUACGUCAGCGGCAGACGGGUGAGUAACGCGUGGGAAUCUGCCUAUCAGUGGGGGAUAACAGAGGGAAACUUCUGCUAACACCGCAUACGCCCUUCGGGGGAAAAUUUAUUGCUGAUAGAUGAGCCCGCGUACGAUUAGCUAGUUGGUGAGGUAAUGGCUCACCAAGGCUACGAUCGUUAGCUGGUCUGAGAGGAUGAUCAGCCACACUGGGACUGAGACACGGCCCAGACUCCUACGGGAGGCAGCAGUGGGGAAUAUUGGACAAUGGGCGCAAGCCUGAUCCAGCAAUGCCGCGUGAGUGAUGAAGGCCUUAGGGUUGUAAAGCUCGUUUCGGGUGGGACGAUGAUGACGGUACCACCAGAAGAAGCCCCGGCUAACUUCGUGCCAGCAGCCGCGGU